RNAcentral lists this long non-coding RNA (419 nucleotides) under Olea europaea subsp. europaea. The record is from RNAcentral. Lineage: Eukaryota; Viridiplantae; Streptophyta; Magnoliopsida; Lamiales; Oleaceae.
CAGAUCCCUAGUAAAGGUACGUCGAAUUGUAACUUUACCAGCUUCGCUUUGGUAUUGGAUUUGCUGGACGACGAUCACGCAGAUAUAUUACGUCGAUCAUGCUUAUGGCCAUUGUAUUCGUUGCGUGAUGUACAGUGGUCUGGGCAGCUGCUCGAUGCCCUGUUAUGUCGCUUGCUGAAGCCAGUUGACGGAGACGCCCUCCAUUUUGAUCUUGGGGGCAAGGUAGCCACGUUCUCCAUAUUUGAGUUUGCCCUCGUCACUCGACUGCGAUGUACGGACGAUGCAGAGGUGAGGGCCUAUGUUCUGAGGAACAGGAGGCUGUUGAAUGAAUAUUUUCAUGGACAGACGACGGUUACUCUAGCGCAGCUAGGAGAUGCAUUAAGGAGAUGUGAUCGGAUGUCUGAUAGGUUGAAGUUAGG